RNAcentral lists this ribosomal RNA (339 nucleotides) under uncultured bacterium. RNAcentral's name for it is "bacterial SSU rRNA". It matches the Rfam family "Bacterial small subunit ribosomal RNA", at positions 28 to 334 of the family's 1533-position model. RNAcentral also lists the same sequence under 1 other name. The record is from RNAcentral.
GACGAACGCUGGCGGCGUGCCUAAUACAUGCAAGUCGAGCGAGUCUGCCUUGAAGAUCGGAGUGCUUGCACUCUGUGAAACAAGAUACAGGCUAGCGGCGGACGGGUGAGUAACACGUGGGUAACCUGCCCAAGAGAUCGGGAUAACACCUGGAAACAGAUGCUAAUACCGGAUAACAACAGAUGAUGCCUAUCAACUGUUUAAAAGAUGGUUCUGCUAUCACUCUUGGAUGGACCUGCGGUGCAUUAGCUAGUUGGUAGGGUAACGGCCUACCAAGGCGAUGAUGCAUAGCCGAGUUGAGAGACUGAUCGGCCACAUUGGGACUGAGACACGGCCCAA